Molecule: transfer RNA, 71 nt
Organism: Thecamonas trahens ATCC 50062
Lineage: Eukaryota; Apusomonadida; Apusomonadidae
Rfam family: tRNA
About the family: Transfer RNA (tRNA) molecules are approximately 80 nucleotides in length. Their secondary structure includes four short double-helical elements and three loops (D, anti-codon, and T loops).
Source: Rfam
AUGCGUCUGGUGUAGUGGCAACAUUUAUGCUUCCCAAGCAUGAGCUCCGGGUUCGAUUCCCGGGACGCGAA